Molecule: ribosomal RNA, 609 nt
Filed under: Pseudoalteromonas byunsanensis
Lineage: Bacteria; Pseudomonadati; Pseudomonadota; Gammaproteobacteria; Alteromonadales; Pseudoalteromonadaceae
Description: bacterial SSU rRNA
Rfam family: Bacterial small subunit ribosomal RNA
Source: RNAcentral
GGGGGCAGCGUACACAUGCAGUCGAGCGGUAACAUUUCUAGCUUGCUAGAAGAUGACGAGCGGCGGACGGGUGAGUAAUGCUUGGGAACAUGCCUUUAGGUGGGGGACAACAGUUGGAAACGACUGCUAAUACCGCAUGAUGUCUACGGACCAAAGUGGGGGACCUUCGGGCCUCACGCCUAAAGAUUGGCCCAAGUGGGAUUAGCUAGUUGGUGAGGUAAUGGCUCACCAAGGCGACGAUCCCUAGCUGGUUUGAGAGGAUGAUCAGCCACACUGGGACUGAGACACGGCCCAGACUCCUACGGGAGGCAGCAGUGGGGAAUAUUGCACAAUGGGCGCAAGCCUGAUGCAGCCAUGCCGCGUGUGUGAAGAAGGCCUUCGGGUUGUAAAGCACUUUCAGUCAGGAGGAAAGGGUGUGUUUUAAUAGAGCACAUCUGUGACGUUACUGACAGAAGAAGCACCGGCUAACUCCGUGCCAGCAGCCGCGGUAAUACGGAGGGUGCGAGCGUUAAUCGGAAUUACUGGGCGUAAAGCGUACGCAGGCGGUUUGUUAAGCGAGAUGUGAAAGCCCCGGGCUCAACCUGGGAACUGCAUUUCGAACUGGCAAAC